UNCCACUUUGCCUGCACAGUUGUUCUGCGGU
RNAcentral lists this non-coding RNA (31 nucleotides) under Mus musculus (house mouse). The record is from RNAcentral. Lineage: Eukaryota; Metazoa; Chordata; Mammalia; Rodentia; Muridae.